AAUCAACGCUGGCGGCGUGCCUAACACAUGCAAGUCGAACGCGAAAGGGGGCUUCGGCUCCUAAGUAGAGUGGCGUCCGGGUGAGUAACACGUAGGUAAUCUGCCUUCGGGUGGGGAAUAACCAGUCGAAAGAUUGGCUAAUACCGCAUAAUGCAGCGGCACCUAAUGGUGAUUAGUUGUUAAAGCGGGGGGAUCGUAAGACCUCGCGCCUGAAGAGGAGCCUGCGGCAGAUUAGCUAGUUGGUGAGGUAAUGGCUCACCAAGGCUUCGAUCUGUAGCUGGUCUGAGAGGACGGCCAGCCACACUGGCACUGACACACGGGCCAGACUCCUACGGGAGGCAGCAGUGGGGAAUUUUUGGGCAAUGGGCGAAAGCCUGACCCAGCGAUGCCGCGUGUGUGAAGAAGGCCUGCGGGUUGUAAAGCAC
This 425-nucleotide ribosomal RNA is filed under the name uncultured bacterium. RNAcentral's name for it is "bacterial SSU rRNA". It matches the Rfam family "Bacterial small subunit ribosomal RNA", at positions 32 to 433 of the family's 1533-position model. The record is from RNAcentral.